CUCGCCAUAACGGCGGAUUGUCCCCCCAUCCGCCAGGUGGCGCGAGUCUCUUCGUGAGGAAAAAAUAUUUGCCAUUUGUUUACGAAACGCUGACUUGAAAGUGUCUUCCAAGUUGAUUGGUGUCGAUCUACAUUUUUAGCCAUUAAAUGUAAUUGGCAAUCUGGCAAUCAACGGUUUUACUUUUGUUCGUUGAUUUUCAGGUCGGAAAUGGAGAUCUCUUUGCUCAACUGUUGCAGAAAUUUAGAACAUGACAAAGUCUGAGCUUCAUGGCUGUAGUAUCAUUAAUGUGGUUUUGUUGCAGCCAGCUGGUGAAAGGUCUGAUCGAGUCAUGGUUGAGUUGCAGCUUCUGCAUGCAGUUUAUCGAGCUGGUACAAUCCCAAGUUGCCCAAGCUGCAGGAAAACUUCUUGAAUUGCCAGGUGAAGUCUGUGCUUCUUUGUUGCAGUCUAAUGGAUUCGUUUCAGUCAUCCAGUGAAAGGUGUGAUUAAAUUGAGCUGUUGCAUGCUGUCUUUGGUGCUGAUGUUGUCCUCUGGAGUGUGGGAGAGUCCCAUGCUUCAAGUCUUCUGGGAUCAGCCAUAUCUGAGUUGACGCUGGAUCAUAUGCUGCAUUGUGGUUGCCGAAAUGUUGGACAUCUAGUAGAACUGCAAGAAGACUCCUUGAAAUGGUUUAUGUUUACGUAGCAGUGAUGUUGCUGUCCAAUAUGGCAUGUUGUUGCAGCCUAUACUGGUGAAAGAUUUUUUGCUUCGAGUUAUGCUGUUGCUGUUCCUUGGUGCCAGACUGCUGGUGUUGUGCACAAAAGUUACAUCCAGUUUUAAUUGUUAUUUGUGUCUAUGCAGUUAACCGAUUAUAUGUUGAAAAGGAACAGAAAAGUUUCUUGGUUGUGCUACAUCAGUUACAUCCAGUAUUUUUUAAAAUUGCUAUUUGCUUCUAUGAAGUUAACCGUUUAUAUUUUGAGAAUGAAAAAAAAUAGUA
RNAcentral lists this long non-coding RNA (970 nucleotides) under Daphnia pulicaria. Its description in RNAcentral is "uncharacterized LOC124350205, transcript variant X2". The record is from RNAcentral. Lineage: Eukaryota; Metazoa; Arthropoda; Branchiopoda; Diplostraca; Daphniidae.